CCAGCUCCAAUAGCGUAUAUUUAAGUUGUUGCAGUUAAAAAGCUCGUAGUUGGAUUUCGGGCGGCAGCGCUCGGUGGACCUUGCCGUGCUUAAUUGCGCGGUGGACCCAUACUGACGCUGCUCCUUACCAGCCUCGGCCGCCGUCUGGGCUUCGCUGCUCGGGCGCGCGCCGCGGCGACGUUACCUUGAAUAAAUUAUGGUGUUCAAAGCAGGCGGCACGCUGUGAGUACAUUAGCAUGGAAUAACGGCACAGGACUCCGGUCCCGUUCUCGUUGGUCUCCGAACCGGAGUAAUGAUUAACAGGGACAGUCGGGGGCAUUCGUACUCCGGUGUUAGAGGUGAAAUUCUUGGAUCACCGGAAGACGAACUUCUGCGAAAGCAUUUGCCAAGGAUGUUUUCA
Molecule: ribosomal RNA, 400 nt
Filed under: Spirogyra sp. OTU167
Lineage: Eukaryota; Viridiplantae; Streptophyta; Zygnematophyceae; Spirogyrales; Spirogyraceae
Also listed under: 1 other name
Description: SSU rRNA
Rfam family: Eukaryotic small subunit ribosomal RNA
Source: RNAcentral